RNAcentral lists this ribosomal RNA (425 nucleotides) under uncultured bacterium. RNAcentral's name for it is "partial 16S ribosomal RNA". It matches the Rfam family "Bacterial small subunit ribosomal RNA", at positions 354 to 796 of the family's 1533-position model. The record is from RNAcentral.
GUGGGGAAUAUUGGACAAUGGGCGAAAGCCUGAUCCAGCAAUGCCGCGUGAGUGAAGAAGGCCUUAGGGUUGUAAAGCUCUUUUACCCGGGAUGAUAAUGACAGUACCGGGAGAAUAAGCUCCGGCUAACUCCGUGCCAGCAGCCGCGGUAAUACGGAGGGAGCUAGCGUUGUUCGGAAUCACUGGGCGUAAAGCGCACGUAGGCGGCUUUGUAAGUUAGAGGUGAAAGACCGGGGCUCAACUCCGGAACUGCCUUUAAGACUGCAUCGCUUGAAUCUGGGAGAGGUGAGUGGAAUUCCGAGUGUAGAGGUGAAAUUCGUAGAUAUUCGGAAGAACACCAGUGGCGAAGGCGGCUCACUGGACCAGAAUUGACGCUGAGGUGCGAAAGCGUGGGGAGCAAACAGGAUUAGAUACCCCAGUAGUCC